GGUCAAGCUAGAAAGAGCUAACGGUGGAUACCUAGGCA
Molecule: ribosomal RNA, 38 nt
Filed under: Gloeothece tepidariorum PCC 6909
Lineage: Bacteria; Bacillati; Cyanobacteriota; Cyanophyceae; Chroococcales; Aphanothecaceae
Description: partial 23S ribosomal RNA
Source: RNAcentral